GUACUAUAAUGGUUUCAUAGUUCAUUAGAUACAUCAUGAGGAGAUUUACGUGUCUGACGUAUCU
Molecule: non-coding RNA, 64 nt
Organism: Fukomys damarensis (Damara mole-rat)
Lineage: Eukaryota; Metazoa; Chordata; Mammalia; Rodentia; Bathyergidae
Source: Rfam